Helianthus annuus (common sunflower) is the source of this 660-nucleotide long non-coding RNA. RefSeq lists it as uncharacterized. The transcript is spliced from 2 exons. NCBI's taxonomy places the organism in Eukaryota, Viridiplantae, Streptophyta, Magnoliopsida, Asterales, Asteraceae. The record is from RefSeq and is a predicted model, not a curated record.
GACCCAAUAACAUUAACUUUUCAUUCAAAACACACAGGUCAUGUCCCCCAAAACCCAUUGUCGUCUUCACAAAACCCACAUAAACCCUAACUUCUAAGCACCAUAACUCAUUCAAUUCUUAACGAAAUCAAGCGAUUCUUGGGUCCAAAUUGUGUGUUUUUUCGAGACGAACAAGACUAACCGAACAGAAUUUCGAAAUUCUUCACGGGUUUUGAGAUUUUUGGACAUUUUUGGUCCGAAAUUUUGGGGGUUCUUGGUGGGUUUUUGCAAGCUUUCAUCCUUGGUGUUUAGUGCUUGUUUAAUCAUCACUCGAGGAAUGGCACGUGUUCGAGAGAAUAAGAAAGGGAAGGCUCAAGAGGAACCUUCUAAAAGGGCUUCAAAAAAGGCAAAGAAACAACUUCUUGUUGUAGAGGAGUCGGAUGAUUCGGAUCCGGAAUAUGAUGUUUCGGAUGAGGAAGAAGAAGUAGAAGAAGAAGAUCAAAUCAUGACUAUGAGUGGCUAGAUUCUUUUGUGAUCACCUCCGGGUGGAUGGUUCAUGUAUGUGAAACUCAAACCUUGUUUAUUUAGUUUUUUGGGAUUGUUUUUCAUAACUUGAAGAAUACUUGUGGUUUAGUUUUGUUUAAAAGAAUUGUGAGUGUUGCAAUUAUUCAUCUUUUACCA